CAUCCCCUCUUCAAUAGUCGAUAGGACUGCGCGAAGAACAUUAUUGAAAUAAACCUGAUGGGUUGUUGCUGGCUCUCUAGGGAGCAUGUGCACGCCUUGUCAUCUUUAUAUCUCCACCUGUGCACUUUUUGUAGACCUUUCAGGUCUAUGUUGCUUCAUUUUUACCCCAAUGUAUGUUAAUAGAAUGUUGUGCCUAUAUAAUUUAUACAACUUUCAGCAACGGAUCUCUUGGCUCUCGCAUCGAUGAAGAACGCAGCGAAAUGCGAUAAGUAAUGUGAAUUGCAGAAUUCAGUGAAUCAUCGAAUCUUUGAACGCACCUUGCGCUCCUUGGUAUUCCGAGGAGCAUGCCUGUUUGAGUGUCAUUAAUAUAUAUCAACCUUCUCUUUGUUGAGAGGUUUGGAUGUGGGGGUUUGCUGGCCUUUAUAAAAGGUUCAGCUCCUCUGAAAUGCAUUAGCAAAACAAACCUGUUCAUUGGUGUGAUAACUAUCUACGCUAUUGAAUGUGAGGGGCAGUUCAGCUUUCUAACCGUCCUCGGACAAAUUCAUCAUUAAUGUGACCUCAAAUCAGGUAGGACUACCCGCUGAACUUAAGCAUAUCAAUAAGCGGAGGAA
RNAcentral lists this ribosomal RNA (611 nucleotides) under uncultured Inocybe. RNAcentral's name for it is "eukaryotic LSU rRNA". The stretch from base 209 to 362 matches the Rfam family "5.8S ribosomal RNA". Lineage: Eukaryota; Fungi; Basidiomycota; Agaricomycetes; Agaricales; Cortinariaceae. The record is from RNAcentral.